CCUACGGGGGGCAGCAGUAGGGAAUUUUCGGCAAUGGGCGCAAGCCUGACCGAGCAACGCCGCGUGAGUGAAGAAGGCCUUCGGGUUGUAAAGCUCUGUUGUAAGGGAAGAACACUUAAAAGAGGGAAUGCUUUUAAGCUGACGGUACCUUACCAGAAAGCCACGGCUAACUACGUGCCAGCAGCCGCGGUAAUACGUAGGUGGCGAGCGUUAUCCGGAAUUAUUGGGCGUAAAGGGUGCGUAGGCGGUUCAUUAAGUCUGUGGUUAAAGUGCGG
RNAcentral lists this ribosomal RNA (275 nucleotides) under uncultured bacterium. Its description in RNAcentral is "partial 16S ribosomal RNA". It matches the Rfam family "Bacterial small subunit ribosomal RNA", at positions 338 to 605 of the family's 1533-position model. The record is from RNAcentral.